AGCGAACGCUGGCGGCAGGCCUAACACAUGCAAGUCGAACGGACCCUUCGGGGUUAGUGGCGGACGGGUGAGUAACACGUGGGAACGUGCCUUUAGGUUCGGAAUAGCUCCUGGAAACGGGUGGUAAUGCCGAAUGUGCCCUUCGGGGGAAAGAUUUAUCGCCUUUAGAGCGGCCCGCGUCUGAUUAGUUAGUUGGUGAGGUAACGGCUCACCAAGGCGACGAUCAGUAGCUGGUCUGAGAGGAUGACCAGCCACACUGGGACUGAGACACGGCCCAGACUCCUACGGGAGGCAGCAGUGGGGAAUCUUGCGCAAUGGGCGAAAGCCUGACGCAGCCAUGCCGCGUGAAUGAUGAAGGUCUUAGGAUUGUAAAAUUCUUUCACCGGGGACGAUAAUGACGGUACCCGGAGAAGAAGCCCCGGCUAACUUCGUG
This 433-nucleotide ribosomal RNA is filed under the name uncultured bacterium. RNAcentral describes it as "partial 16S ribosomal RNA". It matches the Rfam family "Bacterial small subunit ribosomal RNA", at positions 29 to 507 of the family's 1533-position model. The record is from RNAcentral.